GGAUCGAGUUCUGUGCAAACCCAGCUUUUUGUUGGUUUGCUCGCGGCAUUUUCUUUCCGGCUUUUAUUAUGCAGCUGCAGAGUCUGAAGGUGUGCCCCGUGCAGAAGUAAUCGAUGAAGAUCUGACAGAAGACCAACAACAAAAUCACCAUGUCAUGGAGGCAGUGGACAGCAGUUGUGUUGGACAAGUGGAGGUUGAGGUACCAGCUGCAAAUGUAGACAGUGGCGAUCGGACAGACAGCAUCACGGAAGCUAAAGGGCAGACAAAGGAUUGUGUGUGCAA
This is a long non-coding RNA of Oreochromis niloticus (Nile tilapia), 282 nucleotides long. RefSeq lists it as uncharacterized. The transcript has 2 exons. NCBI's taxonomy places the organism in Eukaryota, Metazoa, Chordata, Actinopteri, Cichliformes, Cichlidae. The record is from RefSeq and is a predicted model, not a curated record.